GCUCAGAUUGAACGCUGGCGGCAGGCCUAACACAUGCAAGUCGAGCGGAUGAAGGGAGCUUGCUCCUGGAUUCAGCGGCGGACGGGUGAGUAAUGCCUAGGAAUCUGCCUGGUAGUGGGGGAUAACGUCCGGAAACGGGCGCUAAUACCGCAUACGUCCUGAGGGAGAAAGUGGGGGAUCUUCGGACCUCACGCUAUCAGAUGAGCCUAGGUCGGAUUAGCUAGUUGGUGGGGUAAAGGCCUACCAAGGCGACGAUCCGUAACUGGUCUGAGAGGAUGAUCAGUCACACUGGAACUGAGACACGGUCCAGACUCCUACGGGAGGCAGCAGUGGGGAAUAUUGGACAAUGGGCGAAAGCCUGAUCCAGCCAUGCCGCGUGUGUGAAGAAGGUCUUCGGAUUGUAAAGCACUUUAAGUUGGGAGGAAGGGCAGUAAGUUAAUACCUUGCUGUUUUGACGUUACCAACAGAAUAAGCACCGGCUAACUUCGUGCCAGCAGCCGCGGUAAUACGAAGGGUGCAAGCGUUAAUCGGAAUUACUGGGCGUAAAGCGCGCGUAGGUGGUUCAGCAAGUUGGAUGUGAAAUCCCCGGGCUCAACCUGGGAACUGCAUCCAAAACUACUGAGCUAGAGUACGGUAGAGGGUGGUGGAAUUUCCUGUGUAGCGGUGAAAUGCGUAGAUAUAGGAAGGAACACCAGUGGCGAAGGCGACCACCUGGACUGAUACUGACACUGAGGUGCGAAAGCGUGGGGAGCAAACAGGAUUAGAUACCCUGGUAGUCCACGCCGUAAACGAUGUCGACUAGCCGUUGGGAUCCUUGAGAUCUUAGUGGCGCAGCUAACGCGAUAAGUCGACCGCCUGGGGAGUACGGCCGCAAGGUUAAAACUCAAAUGAAUUGACGGGGGCCC
This 905-nucleotide ribosomal RNA is filed under the name Pseudomonas aeruginosa. Its description in RNAcentral is "bacterial SSU rRNA". It matches the Rfam family "Bacterial small subunit ribosomal RNA", at positions 22 to 922 of the family's 1533-position model. The record is from RNAcentral. Lineage: Bacteria; Pseudomonadati; Pseudomonadota; Gammaproteobacteria; Pseudomonadales; Pseudomonadaceae.